RNAcentral lists this non-coding RNA (27 nucleotides) under Rattus norvegicus (Norway rat). The record is from RNAcentral. Lineage: Eukaryota; Metazoa; Chordata; Mammalia; Rodentia; Muridae.
UGUGAAGACAGAUACAGUGUACUCAUA